GCGGCGUGCUUCAUACAUGCAAGUCGAACGAGAAGCAGGAGCUUGCUCCUGUGGAGAGUGGCGGACGGGUGAGUAACACGUAGGAAGUCUGCCUUUGGGUGGGGGACAACAGUUGGAAACGACUGCUAAUACCCCAUAUGAGCUUGGUUGCAAUACCAAUCUUGAAAACUCCGGUGCCUAAAGAUGAGCCUGCGUCUGAUUAGCUUGUUGGCGGGGUAAUGGCCCACCAAGGCGACGAUCAGUAGCUGGUUUGAGAGGAUGAUCAGCGACAAUGGAACUGGGACACGGCCCAUACUCCUACGGGAGGCAGCAGUAGGGAAUUUUGCGCAAUGGGGGAAACCCUGACGAAGCAACGCCGCGUGAAUGACGAAGCCCUUCGGGGUGUAAAGUUCUGUCAGUAGGGAAGAAUUUUGACUGUACCUACAAAGGAAGCACCGGCUAACUCCGUGCCAGCCGCCGCCGUAA
RNAcentral lists this ribosomal RNA (465 nucleotides) under uncultured bacterium. RNAcentral describes it as "partial 16S ribosomal RNA". It matches the Rfam family "Bacterial small subunit ribosomal RNA", at positions 39 to 523 of the family's 1533-position model. The record is from RNAcentral.